GCCGAAGUGGUGAAACUGGUAGACACGCCAGCUUGAGGGGCUGGUGGCGCAAGCCGUGUGGGUUCGAGUCCCACCUUCGGCACCA
RNAcentral lists this transfer RNA (85 nucleotides) under Candidatus Muproteobacteria bacterium RBG_16_65_34. RNAcentral's name for it is "tRNA-Leu". It matches the Rfam family "tRNA". From Rfam's summary of the family: Transfer RNA (tRNA) molecules are approximately 80 nucleotides in length. Their secondary structure includes four short double-helical elements and three loops (D, anti-codon, and T loops). The record is from RNAcentral. Lineage: Bacteria; Pseudomonadati; Pseudomonadota; Candidatus Muproteobacteria.